This is a long non-coding RNA of Acanthopagrus latus (yellowfin seabream), 2091 nucleotides long. RefSeq lists it as uncharacterized. The record is from RefSeq and is a predicted model, not a curated record. Lineage: Eukaryota; Metazoa; Chordata; Actinopteri; Spariformes; Sparidae. The transcript is spliced from 3 exons.
ACAAAAAAAAACACAGAGAUGAGUUUAAUCUGAAUUUAUUACCUCCAAUACAUUGUUUUGUUGAGCAAUGACAACUAGGCAGUUAAAAAAAUACAGUACACUUAACUUAAACAUUAAAGCAUUAUAAAGCAUACCUAUGGCAUACAAGAAUAACUUUCCUAAAAUGUACAUCUUUACAAAGUGUUUACAAAUAAAAUGUAAAAAAAAAAAAAAAAAAGACAGAAAAGUGCAAAACAGAGUCAACGAAGACAGACGAUCCCCACCAGUGAAACAGGACAAAAUGUACAAUGAAAAAAAACAAAACAAAAACAAAAACAUACUUCAUAUUCCUAACUUGCUUUUGAUGCACGUUUCCUGAUAUGAACAGUGGGCCGUGAGAUUGUGCUUUUCAACUGUCCAUGUGCUUAUUGUGAUUUGGAACUUGUAUUAAUCGAGCAGUGCGUGAUAGAAAAACCCACUUCUGAAAAUAUUCACAGUAUUUCAAAUUUUUGUCUGCGCCCCCUAAGUUUGAAUGAAAACCACCUUUAAAUAAAUACAUUUUACUUUAAUUUACAACUUUGUUUGUGGCUUAAGAUGAACGUGAUGAGGGCCAAAAUAACAGGGGUAAAAGAAAAUAAUUAUAUAAAUAGGACACCUUUUGUGGAGUUGAAGUGUGUGAGGGAGAGAAAACAUGAACAUGUGUUUUAUGAACCUUAUUAGAUCUGACCUUCUUUCUGUGACUGUGGAUGCAAUAUCAGUAGUGUGACAGUGUCCCGUAACGUAAACAAAGUAAACAAACAGCUGACUAUCCGUUUGAAAAAUAAAAUAUACACCAAAUACAGUACUGUAGUCUUUUUAACCCUCUCUCUCUUUGAUACUCUCCUUCGUGGUCCCUCUUAAAAACAAAGGUUAAAAUUAGUGUGAUUAAAAAAAAAACAAAAACAAAACCAUCAUCCCAUUGUUGAGAUGCACAUUUCACUCUACGUGAUGGGAAACAUGUAAAACAUCAGAUUUACUCACAGAUUUUUAAAAAAUAAAUAUGAAGCCCUACGGUUCCUUAUCGAUCAUCUAAAAUAUCAGCGUCUUCUCUUGAUUUUUAAAGCGUGACGACCCUAAGUGAUGGCGAAGGCGGUAGGCAGAGUGAAAUACAAUAACUUCAAAUAGACUUACAGGUCUAAGUCGAGUUAAACUUAACUUAACUGGAUCUUGUAAUAGCGAACGUGUUUUCUUUACAGCUGCAUCCUUACCGCUUAAAGAAAAAAAAGAAAAAAAGCUGUUAAAGUGACAGUCUAGCCUGAGUAGCAAAUCUGAAGACCACAGAAUUUGAACGGUCUGAUAGUGAAAGCACGAUUAAAACACACCAGCCACCGCCGUGGUUCACCGCUCCUACACAGGUUAAGAUUAACUAGUGCUGAGAGUGCAGUUAAAAUAAGCUUAACAGCAAAUUAAAAGAAAGCGCUUGAGGAGGUCCACCAAAGAUUUGAUUCUUGUACUUCAGGUCAACAUGUUUGGGCAGCGAGGAGAUUCUAGUUCUUUACAAACAGUAACAGAUAUCCUGAGCUACUGCGUGUGUCUGUACAACAGUUUAUUGCCACGGCAAGUCCUCCAGCGGAGUCAGUUCCUACGACUCCAGUCUAUUCCUCAAGGCUCACAUGUAAAGUAAGAGAAAGAGUUUAAAUCCAUUCAGUCACACAGGAUAGACUUUGUUCACACGGCGGCCAUUUUCCUCCAAUGUCACACUCAUGGUGUGAAACUUGAAUGCUGGGAUAAUGUACUGCUGCUGUACUGCUCUGUACACAGUAUGUGGGUGAUCUGGCAAACUGUUAUAAUUUCACUACUUCCUGAUUGAGUAACUACUGUGAAGACAAUGAAGAGUUUAAUCUGGAGGGACAUCAAACUUCAAGGCCACUCUCUGCAUGGUGUCUAUGGCUUCCUGCACCACCUCGUAGGUCUCCGUGUCCUUCUCCAUGUGGUUGGCUAUCUCCUCAGUAGGUGGUACUUGAGGAUCCUCUGCACUGGCUUGAGCAGGUAGGAGCCCAGGGGCAAGGAGUGUCUCAGAGAUUCCUGGCGCUCGCGGAAAAACUUGGCCAACGCCUUGUUCCUCAUGCACUC